GGGGGCACCCUGGCGGCGAGCGGCGAACGGGUGAGUAAUACAUCGGAACGUACCCAGGAGUGGGGGAUAACACAUCGAAAGAUGUGCUAAUACCGCAUACGCCCUGAGGGGGAAAGCGGGGGAUCGCAAGACCUCGCGCUGUUGGAGCGGCCGAUGUCGGAUUAGCUAGUUGGUAGGGUAAAGGCCUACCAAGGCGACGAUCCGUAGCUGGUCUGAGAGGAUGAUCAGCCACACUGGGACUGAGACACGGCCCAGACUCCUACGGGAGGCAGCAGUGGGGAAUUUUGGACAAUGGGGGCAACCCUGAUCCAGCCAUUCCGCGUGAGUGAAGAAGGCCUUCGGGUUGUAAAGCUCUUUCGGCAGGAACGAAACGGCGGGCUCUAACAUGGCCUGUCAAUGACGGUACCUGAAGAAGAAGCACCGGCUAACUACGUGCCAGCAGCCGCGGUAAUACGUAGGGUGCGAGCGUUAAUCGGAAUUACUGGGCGUAAAGCGUGCGCAGGCGGUUUUGUAAGACAGCUGUGAAAUCCCCGGGCUUAACCUGGGAACUGCGGUUGUGACUGCAAGACUAGAGUGCGGCAGAGGGGGGUGGAAUUCCACGUGUAGCAGUGAAAUGCGUAGAGAUGUGGAGGAACACCGAUGGCGAAGGCAGCCCCCUGGGUUGACACUGACGCUCAUGCACGAAAGCGUGGGUAGCAAACAGGAUUAGAUACCCUGGUAGUCCACGCCCUAAACGAUGCCAACUAGGUGUUGGGGAAGGAGACUUCCUUAGUACCGUAGCUAACGCGUGAAGUUGGCCGCCUGGGGAGUACGGUCGCAAGAUUAAAACUCAAAGGAAUUGACGGGGACCCGCACAAGCGGUGGAUGAUGUGGAUUAAUUCGAUGC
RNAcentral lists this ribosomal RNA (886 nucleotides) under uncultured bacterium. RNAcentral describes it as "bacterial SSU rRNA". It matches the Rfam family "Bacterial small subunit ribosomal RNA", at positions 76 to 957 of the family's 1533-position model. The record is from RNAcentral.